UAGCCAAGGUCAACCCAACCCAACCCAACCCAAGGUCAACAAAACCCAACUCAACAUCAACCAAGGUCAACCCAACCCAACCCAAGGUCAACCAAGGUCAACCCAACCCAACCCAAGGUCAACCAAGGUCAACCCAACCCAAAAUCAACUCAAGGACAACCCAACCCUUGGUCAACCCAACCAAUGGUCAGCAAGGCCAAAGCAACCAUACGACCAACGCGAGUCAAGGCCGGACAAUCGAUGGUCAAUGUCAAGACCAACCCAACGGUCAGCUCAAGACCAACUCAACGGUCAUCUCAAGACCAACCCAACGGUCAGCUCAAGACCAACCCAGUGGUCAUCUCAAGACCAACCCAAUGGUCAUCUGAAGAUCAAGACCCAACCCAACGGUCAUCUCAAGAUCAACCCAAUGGUCAGCUCAAGAUCAACCCAAUGGUCACCAGAAGAUCAACCCAAUGGUCAGCUCAAGAUCAAGACCACCCCAGUGGUCAGCCCAAUUAACCGUUCACAAAAUCAAGACCAACCCAACGGUCAUCUCCAUCAAUGGUCAGCAGAACCAAGACCAACGGUCAGCCCAGGUCAAGGCAACGUCAAGUCAAGGUCAACCAACCAAUGGUCAAGAUCAAGCCAUGGGUGAGACCAAGCCAUGGUUGAGACCAAACUCAAGUCAAGACCAAGCCAUGGCCGAGACCAACCCAAAAACCAAGACAAACUCAAGACCAAUCCAAGGUCAAAACAAACCCAAAGUCAAGACCAACUCAUGGUCAAGAUCAACCAGCCCAAAGUCGAGACCAAGCCAUGGCCAAGACCAACCCAAAGUCAAGACCGACUCAAGGUCAAGACCAAUCCAUGGCCAAAACCAACCCAAAAACCAACUCAAACUCAAGACCAACCAAUGGCCAAAACCAACCCAUCGCGAAGACCAACCCAAAGUCAAGACCAACUCAUGGUCAAGACCAACCCAAAAACCAACCCAAAGU
RNAcentral lists this long non-coding RNA (980 nucleotides) under Zonotrichia albicollis (white-throated sparrow). RNAcentral describes it as "lncRNA (ENSZALG00000007465.1)". Lineage: Eukaryota; Metazoa; Chordata; Aves; Passeriformes; Passerellidae. The record is from RNAcentral.